GCGCCCAUAGCUCAACUGGAUAGAGUAUCAGACUACGAAUCUGAAGGUUGAAGGUUCGACUCCUUCUGGGCGCACCA
RNAcentral lists this transfer RNA (77 nucleotides) under bacterium. Its description in RNAcentral is "tRNA-Arg". It matches the Rfam family "tRNA". Rfam says of the family: Transfer RNA (tRNA) molecules are approximately 80 nucleotides in length. Their secondary structure includes four short double-helical elements and three loops (D, anti-codon, and T loops). The record is from RNAcentral.